GUAGGGAAUAUUGGGCAAUGGUCGGAAGACUGACCCAGCCAUGCCGCGUGCAGGAAGACGGCCCUCUGGGUUGUAAACUGCUUUUAUCUGGGAAGAAAAAGGCCAUGCGUGGCAAAUUGCCGGUACCAGAUGAAUAAGCACCGGCUAACUCCGUGCCAGCAGCCGCGGUAAUACGGAGGGUGCGAGUGUUGUCCGGAUUUAUUGGGUUUAAAGGGUGCGUAGGCGGCUGAUUAAGUCAGCGGUGAAAGACUUCGGCUUAACCGGAGCAGUGCCGUUGAUACUGGUUGGCUUGAGUGUCGGAGGGGUACAUGGAAUUGAUGGUGUAGCGGUGAAAUGCAUAGAUACCAUCAGGAACACCGAUAGCGAAGGCAUUGUACUGGCCGACAACUGACGCUGAUGCACGAAAGUGUGGGGAUCGAACAGGAUUAGAUACUCUUGUAGUCC
Molecule: ribosomal RNA, 444 nt
Filed under: uncultured bacterium
Lineage: Bacteria
Description: partial 16S ribosomal RNA
Rfam family: Bacterial small subunit ribosomal RNA
Source: RNAcentral